AUGCCAGAGACAGGUGCAAAGACCCUUCUAUUUUUUUCUUCACAGGUCAAGGGGAGAAGCAGAUGAGGAAAGAGGACUUUGUAAGAAGUUUCACCUGUUUUAAACUCCAGAUAAAGAAAUGGAAGUGCAGAGAGGUCAACUAACCUGUGGGUCCUAAGCAGAAGAACAAGACUUCAAUUGGGAUCUUUUGACUUCAAAAGCAAUGCUCCUGACAUGAUAGAAAGACUACUUUUCCAUUUAAUAAUUUAAAAGUGUAAUUACAACUGAAAAUAAAAGAUCUUUAAGAAAAUGGAGCGUUAUAUCU
This 304-nucleotide long non-coding RNA is filed under the name Monodelphis domestica (gray short-tailed opossum). RNAcentral's name for it is "lncRNA (ENSMODG00000049718.1)". Lineage: Eukaryota; Metazoa; Chordata; Mammalia; Didelphimorphia; Didelphidae. The record is from RNAcentral.